CGACUCGGAUCUCGGAUCUGACGCCACGCCCGUCCACAUCGAGGGGGCGGCCACUCAGUUCACAUUGAGGACUGGUCAAACAGCAUUUCUGAUCCCGUUUCUGACCUGAAAUUAGCUGAAAUGUACCUGAAAUUACCUGAAAUUAGAGUGUGCCCGCCCGAGCGAGUGAUGCCUAAAACAUGCAAAGACACGUCAGUGUAAUUGUGGAUGGCGAGAGCCCUGAAAUACAGCUGGACAGCAGCGGUCUACAUCACUGCCCCUUCUGCAGAUACAAAGGGUAAAAAUGUGAUAUCGACCAUCACAUUAAAUGGCAUGCCUCGGUUAAAUACAGAGGUCUGCAGAGGAGCUUUCAGGAAGCAGGAAGAGAAGACGGGAGGAAAAAAAGCUACAGACAAAACUAAAGACCAGGAACUGAAACCUGGGAACCUGGAAGAUUAUGUUGUCCUGAAGGACACAAUUCAGGCAGCAGCAUGGUGCCAUUUACAGUCCUUCAAGGACAGCGUUUCUCUCCCAGAGGUCAUUGGGAUGGAAGGUUGGGAGCAUGGCAGCAUCAACACAGCGCAAAUCCCAUGACGGCGGGGAUGAGGAAGAAACGUGGAAACCAUUCCAAUUCUCGUUCAGAUUACAUACUGACUAUGAACUGUUCGGUGUGGAGAUGUUGGACAGGAGAAACCUGAAGGUGUUUGCCUCUUUUGAGUCAAACACCUCUCCCCCUCCCCGUGACGCCUGCGCCACACGACUCCAAUGUAGUCUGAUGAUGCAGCAUAAUGGCGGCGCUUGGCAGCUAUGGCGGCGGUGACGGCGAUGUCGGGCGACAGAGCGUGAAGCAAGAGUGGCGUCCACCUCACUGAGGAAGGCGUCAGUGUGUUCCCCCCCCUCCCCCCCCCCCGUUGAGGGCUUUGUUUGUUCUACUCUUUAUUGAUUUAUCUUUUAUGUUAAUAGUUUACAAUCUAUUUUUUGUAGUUGUUAUUUUUUAAUUGUUUUGUUGAAUAAAAAGACUGUUGUUAGUGCUCCUGUGAUUGGUGUAACUUAAUGUGCUUCACACAUGUAGCUUUUCAUUAUGUCUAUUGAGGUACAUUUAUUGCCCUUAGAUGUGGUCACUUCGUUAUUCCUCACAUUACAUCUGUUAAGGUCAUACCUUUGGGUCCCAGUCUUCAUAGUUCCCCAAAUCUUAUUUUGGCUCUUACUGGGCCUGUAACUCUCACAGACAGACGGGUACAGGAGUUCGGACACGUUGCAUUGUUUACAGGCAAGGGUGGAUUACCGCACGGGCACACCGGGCACAUGCCCAGGGGCCCAAGGGCGGCCCUAAGCCAGAGCUUCUGUGUGAAGUCGCUGUUAGUAACUUUUAAUCAGUGGUGUAUAAAGUACUCAAAAGCCAUACUUAAGUAAAAGUACAGAUACCUUACUGGAAAAUUACUUAAGUAAAAGUAAAAGUCACCUUUUAGAAUAGUACUUAAGUAAAAGUAUUAAAGUAUCUGAUCUUUACUGUACUUAAGUAUCAAAAGUACUUUUCUGAUAUUAAAUGUACUUAAGUACUGAAAGUAAAAGUACAAGUAACUGCUGUUAAUAAAAAAGCAAAGGGUCAGAAUUUUGAGAAUAAUGGAGUUUAUUUCAACUAACACAAACACAAUAGGCAAAACUCCACAAGGCCAUAAACACUUCCGGUCCAACCUACCUCCAGGACCUCCUCACCGCUCAUUUUAAAUCAAGGACACUCAAACCUCCUUGCAGUGUUAAAGUGUGCUAUACAAAUUCAAUUAAUUAUUUAUCAUUAUUAAAACAGCACCGAAAGUGUGUGUGUUUGUGUGUGUGUGUGUGUGUGUGUGUGCGUGUGUGUGCGUGUGUGUGCGUGUGUGUGUGCGUGUGCGUGUGUGCGCUGGUACACGUUACUUAAUAUUGAUUUUGGUGUCAUCCAGGAUCGCGGAUUUUCGGAAAACUUAAGUCCCUGCCCAAAAAGGGUAUUUAAAUUAGCUUUGUAGCAAAAAUGGCACAUAUACAGCGUAUUGAAGUGUAUAAGAUAGUGUUGUAAUACUGCGUGUACAAACCAGCCUGAUACAAAUAGUAGAAUUUUGAUAGCCCUUGCCCUCGUCCUAGCCAUGCAUUUGUGUGUUGACAGUCGUAGGAGUUUUGAUCGACGUAGCAACAGUAACUAAGCAAGGGGGCUUUGCGAACGUGCGCUGGGACAGCUGAUUCGCCAAACAGGCUCGCAGUCUGUGUUCUACCACAGUCCCCAACGUUAUUCUCAUAUCUCUCAUGAUUCUUUUUUUUUUUUCUAAAGAUGAGUUGAUUUUGUAACGAGUAACGAAGGUUUCAAGGGAAAUGUAGCGGAGUAAAAGUAUCCGUUUUCUUCGCAAAAUGUAGCGAAGUAAAAGUAAAAGUACAGAGAAAUAUAAGUAGUAAAGUAAAGUACAAAUAUCCAAAAAAACUACUUAAGUACAGUAACGAAGUAUUUCUACUUCGCUACUAUACAACACUGCUUUUAAUGUUGCAUUGUCAAAGCAAUCAGUAGAGAAACACAAAAAUUCAAGCGAAAACGGCAAUAGUAGGGCUAUUAAUACUGAGUAAAAAAAAAAAAAGAUCACUAGGGGGCACUAUUUCACUUAGUGAAUUUGAGACAGGUCACGAACAAGGCACUGUGAUUUAAACAUGGAGCAACGGCGAACGGUAGUAACGUGAACUCCUAAGUGGAACCUUAAUAGGUCCAUGAGUGGAACAGUUAAGCGAAAAAAAAAUAAACAAGAGAAAAUGUAUUUGCAAGUCGUUUAGGCUAUGCUUAACUUUAUAAUAGUUCCAUGGUACGCAGCAAGAAAGAUACCCAGUCACAAUACUCCCGUACCAUCUGUUUGUAUAAUUUAAUUAACAGCAUGGGCUCCCGCUAGCUUAACAUAGUAUUACCGUUUACUCUUGCAUUAACAAGAGCAGCGGAAAUCUGCUCAAUCGUCAAUGUGGUCGGAGUGCCCGCCCGAUGUGGACUGAGUGCCCGCCCCCUCCAUGUGGGCGGAGUGCCGGCCCCCUCCAUGUGGACUGAGUGCCCGCCCCCUCCAUGUGGGCUCCGUCUGCGGGCUGCAGUCAGGGGUACUUGAACGAUCCCGAGAGCUGCCAUUAUUUAACACACAGCCGCAACACACAGCGCACCGCACACCCAACCAACGGACAUGCAAGUCUCGGUAACGGUGGCGGCAACACUACACACAAUAAACAACACACAAACAAUAAAGACCCCAAACCCGUUAACCCCACUUAACCUAACAGAUACAAAUUGACAAAAGGCAAUAAACCCCUUUUUCCCAACCGGCAUCACGAAUACCCAGACUCCCCGGGGGAUAGGAGUCGCCACAAUAUUUACUAUCUGAAAAUUCUGAAACCCCGUAUUUUCCAAAGUGUUGAAAUGCGCAUGUGCACCGUAGUUGACCCAGCCUCAGACAGAGUCUGACUUAAACCCGUGUGUCUUGCUAACAAAGAUACUACACUGAGCCCAACUCUUGACCCAAAACUCAACAUUGUUGGUUGGACUAAAUUGCAUUGCACAGUUGACAUGAAUACUUAAUGUUUUAUAUUAAUUUUACUCAGAAAUCAUAAUGAGACCAACAAUUUUAAGUUUCGUUUUUACUGUGCGCUGUAAAAAAUAAAAAGUUGGGCAAACUCAAAAUUGCAAGGCAACUUACUGCAAUCAGUUUUUGAGUUUUGAGCCCAUCAAAAACGGGAUUUUCUACUUUAGACAAACUUGAAAGUUAGAGUUAUACAAACUAAG
Gadus morhua (Atlantic cod) is the source of this 3754-nucleotide long non-coding RNA. The record is from Ensembl. Lineage: Eukaryota; Metazoa; Chordata; Actinopteri; Gadiformes; Gadidae.